This 228-nucleotide ribosomal RNA is filed under the name uncultured bacterium. RNAcentral describes it as "partial 16S ribosomal RNA". It matches the Rfam family "Bacterial small subunit ribosomal RNA", at positions 524 to 751 of the family's 1533-position model. The record is from RNAcentral.
UACGUAGGGGGCAAGCGUUGUCCGGAAUUAUUGGGCGUAAAGAGCUCGUAGGCGGUUUGUCGCGUCUGCUGUGAAAACCUAAGGCUCAACCUUGGGCUUGCAGUGGGUACGGGCAGACUAGAGUGCGGUAGGGGUGACUGGAAUUCCUGGUGUAGCGGUGGAAUGCGCAGAUAUCAGGAGGAACACCGAUGGCGAAGGCAGGUCACUGGGCCGCAACUGACGCUUGAG